GGAGAGGCUUCCUGUCCGUUAUCAAUGGAGGCACUCGGUUGUGCUGUGGGAUUUCCGAAUAGGAAAUCCUUAGACACAUUCGUUGUCAAGGGUACGAUGUGAGGGUGGGUUAGAUGCCC
This 119-nucleotide non-coding RNA is filed under the name Bacillus testis. Its description in RNAcentral is "epsC RNA". It matches the Rfam family "epsC RNA". The record is from RNAcentral. Lineage: Bacteria; Bacillati; Bacillota; Bacilli; Caryophanales; Bacillaceae.